UGCAUCGGCCGGGAAUCGAACCCGGGCCGCCCACGUGGCAUGCGAGCAUUCUACCACUGAACCACCGAUGG
This 71-nucleotide transfer RNA is filed under the name Cordylochernes scorpioides. RNAcentral describes it as "tRNA-Gly". The record is from RNAcentral. Lineage: Eukaryota; Metazoa; Arthropoda; Arachnida; Pseudoscorpiones; Chernetidae.